GACACAGCGCGGUACUGCAACCACUUCAGGCCAGCGCCCUCUCAGUGCUGCCGCCUUGUGGACACGGCCCGGUACUGCAACCACUUCCAGGCCAGCGCCCUCUCAGUGCUGCAACCAUGUGGACACAGCACAGACACAUGCUUUUCUAUGAGGUCUUGAAGGUCAGUUGUUUUACAACUUCAGAAGGAAGAAACAAAACCAGGCUGAUGGUGACACUCCUUUCAGCAAGGCUUGGUAUAUAUUUGGACAAUUAAUUCAGCAGGGGGGUUUUGUGUUAAUGCUGCUCUUUUGGUUGUGUUUGCUUUUCUGAGCAUUUGACUAAUUGUCAGUGUUUCUCAUACAGUAGGAGUGUUCCACUUAGUGUUUUUCACAGAAAGCAAGCAAUUAUGGUAUAAAGCAAGAAUGAUCUCAAAAAGUGGUUUUGGGGGUUUUUUGGAUUUGACUUUGGGGUUUUUUGUUUGUUUGUUUGUUUUUGUUACCCAACACUAUUUAACUUUACUAUUGUGUGUUUUAAAGUUUUCUCCAAAAACAUGGAAUUAAUUUCACCAUUCUGCCCCGUUGGUUGGCACUUUUUCUACCCUCCACCUUCACUGCCCUGUUUGGAAGCAGUGCUCCUGUUUAGCCUGCAGUGAUGGCUCUUGCAUCCUUUUCUGUUCAGGUAAUUAAAACAUUUUGUUAUUGCCACAGGGACCACAGAAGCUCACAUUACUGCAGUGUAAUUUGUGAGGCAGUUGCUGCUCUAACAAGUUUUUGAGUGGUGUUCAAAAGCAAUAGACCUCAUUCUGGAUGUCAGAAGAGAGCCAUGAGCUGUCCUUCACUUCAUAUUAAUGGUGGCAGGCUGAAUAAGUCAAACCUUAUCAAGCUGGAGGUGGUGUCUAAGUGAGUUCUUGUCUUUGUUAAGCUAUGCAACAUAGGGUUUCACUUUGGAUUUGGUAGGAUGGAUCAGAUUUGCUGGCAACAAGCAGCACCUCUAGGUGUAAACGUGCACGUGGAGGGCAGCAGCCUGUGGUUCAGAGCUGGCUGCCUAAAGAGACUCAGCAGCUGAGUUCCUUCUGACACUUGUGUGGGUGGAUUUCUAACAUCUCUGUUCCUGUCCCCAGCACAGCUCCUGAGUCCAGUGAAAACUGAGUGUGUACACACGUGAGAAAUGGCUGCUUUUCUCCAGGCAAGCACGUGAAUUUCAGAACUCUAAGAAAUAAAGUCCUGACCUGCCUGGAGUGAUUUGGGUGUCAGGAGGCACCUGGGAGCCUCCUUUUGUGUCCUGGGUGUGGCUGUGGCUGUAAAAGGAUGGAGCAGGGGGGAGAGGAGCAGUGACUGGGGCCAAUGAUUCCUUGGGGAUUUGCAUCUGGAAACAGCCAUCCUUUUCCCCAUGGGAGUCCUGGAAACAGCACUGAGAAAUGAGGAUACUGCAGCUGGAGCGCUGGCAAUGGGCGUCUGCAGGGAAUAUUGCCUGACUCUACCUGCUGAAAGGCGGAGGUGAGGGCAGGAUCUGUAAAAUCUCUGACUCUCCGCGUCUCCCUGAGGCUGACGCCGCGUUUACUGUCAAUGACGAUGCAGUGGAAGAUGCUAAAGACUGAAAACUUUGGGAUUUUUCCCCUGAAUCCCAAGAGUCUCUCUGCAGCUGUGCCCUGCAGAUCUCUUGAAGGAGUUCCUGGGUUUGGAAAGGUUUUUGCAUCCUGCCAUAUUUCUCUAUAACUCAAUAAAAAAGAAUCAAACUGUAUCAGUGUGGUGUUAAUUACUUUGAGUUGUUUAAUUAAAGCAAAACAUUGAUAAGGGGUUUGAGCAUC
Long non-coding RNA from Catharus ustulatus (Swainson's thrush), 1787 nucleotides. RefSeq lists it as uncharacterized. The transcript is spliced from 2 exons. The record is from RefSeq and is a predicted model, not a curated record. NCBI's taxonomy places the organism in Eukaryota, Metazoa, Chordata, Aves, Passeriformes, Turdidae.